GAGGGGGAAAUCUCAGGCAGUAGUGCACACGGCAUAGGCACACUUAAUGUGGAAUGGACAUGAGCAACACAUCUCGAAGAGCAACAGUUAAAAAAAAUUAGUAACUGUUUUUUUCACCUUCAGGGGCCUAUGUCAUGAUCAAUUCCUGAUAUGAGAUUUUACUCUAUUCUACAUUUAGGUGCAGCACAGGAUAAAGGGAUUUUACUCCCAAGUACUUUCUGGUUCCCAGAAAGGGUGGAGGCCAACACUAGUCCUCAGACAUCUGAACAAAUAUGCGAAACAACAGAAGUUCAAGAUGGUGACCCUUGCAGCCAUAAUUCCCUCUCUAGACUCCAGAGAUUGCUUUGCAACUCUUGUCCUUCGUCUCAUAUUUUCAUGUGGCAGUUCACCCUUCUCAUAAAACGUUUCUUUGAUUCGUGUUCAAUCAUGAACCACUACCAGUAGCAGCAGGUACUCACCUUCAGCCUAUCCUUGGCCCCAAGGGUAUUUUCAAAGAUUAUGGCAGUCAUACCUGAGCAAGUCUCAAGACUUAGUAUUCAGUCUGUGAUCUGUUUCAUCACUGAUAUCCAAGGUGCCAGUUGUGGUUUACAGUGAUGUGAUGUGGACAUGUAUGCAUUAGGAAUUUAACUGAAACAGUGAAAUAAUUGGACUGCAUAUCUCUGAAUAGAAUUAGUGUAAUUCAGAACAAAAAAUGUAAAUUUCACUUAAGCACAUGAGACUAUAUUCUAUUGAACACAUUUAUAUCCCCCCCGCACCCUACCCCCAAAAAACCCUAAACAUUAAACUCUGGAAAUCACACACUAUGGUUACAUAAACAAUUCAACUUUAACACAGUUUGUGCACUUACUCCAUUAAACAUUUCUAAAUUUUGCGCUGAAUUCAAGCACCCUUAACUCUGCCUCUGUAACAAAAUACUCUAAUUACGAUGUCUGCACCCUUUGCCUACACUUGCAGCAAUGCGUAGGGUAUGUGUAGCUACACCCUCCCAUAAAAGACAGACUGUUACUAUGCUCGGUGCAGUGUGUAGCUGUACACAGCAGUGAAAGGCUCUGGCAAUGGGGAGGUAGCAGAGAAAGUCUCUGGGGAGCUGCUGGAGCCUCUUCCUGCUAGUCUUUCAUUGCAGCAGGGAAAGGUUCUAGCAGCAAGGAGGCAGCAGGCCACUAUACUGCUAAAUACUAAAAUAGUAGUAUAGAUGAUAUGGGAGGCACUGCUUGAGUGUAUAGAGAGACAUGUAAGGUGUAUAUACCCUAUGAUUCAGGUGUGUUAGGCACUCUACGCACCUAGGGAAGGUCUCACUCUACACUGCUAUUUAUACCUGAGUAUGCAGAAUAUGUACUCCAUGUGCUCCCAUAAGAGUAGACCUAUCGUAAAUGAACCAACUCGUAUCUUUUUUCUCAGAAUUGUGUAUUAUACAAAUUUUAAUACUUGAAUUAAUCAUCCAAAACUUGUAAAAAGUUUGACCUUCCACACAAGCCAUGUACAAGCUCCACAAACAAAAAUCUUUAACAAUUCAAGACCACUUGUGUAAGCAUCUCUAAAUUGUAAUCUCUUACUAAGCAAAAUAAUUGCAUGUAUCCCUACUGUAUCCCAAUCACUAGAAACAAAGGUGUACUUGACAAACAGAUCAAACAACUCUUAUAUCAGAUUGUGUAAAUAGUCAUUAUGUAAGAAAACAAGAACUGUUAAUGUUAUAACAAACCAUCAAGCUUGAUCCUAUAGAAAAAAUACAUUGAGUGCGUUCAAAAAGCUCACUCCAGUUUCAGAAGUGUGUUACAGGGUUCAGAGACUGUUUCCUAUACUUAAAAUGGAGAAUACCAUUGUAUCCAGUAAUAACUACAGCGGGAAUCAGCUUUUUAAAUGUUCCUGCUCUAGUUGCCAUAUUUGUUCAGGAGUAUUAAAAUUUGGUGAGUGGCCACUGAGAAUUUUGCUACAUAAGUGUGUGUGUGUGUGUGUGUGUGUGUUUUUGUUUGUGAAUUGGGGCCAGAUCCUCAGUUGAUGUAAAGCAAUUUCAAAGCAGCUAGAGUGAUUUCCAUCAGCUGGUGACCUGGCUGUGUUUAUGAUUGGUGUUAAUUUUGGCCUGUGAUUUCCAUAGAUUAAUGUUAAGAAUUUCCCCCAAAUGUGUGAUAUGCUUCCCUUGAAUUUGUCUUAGCAAUCUGAACUAUAGGUAUGACUAUUUUAACCAUCUCUGUUCACAGCCCAGUUUUCCAGACUCAUAUCCAGCCUUGAUUCCUUUGGCUAUAUAUAGUAAAUAUUGCCUGUUUUUUUCCUUUGAUGUAGUCUUGUCUUGUCAGCCUUCUAGGCACCUGCUUUUGACCUCAGCUAGUGCUGGCUCUAACUAGCCCUUUUCUGGCUAUGUCUACACUGCAUAGUAAACCUGGGUCUGUGGCACCCAUGCCUGUAGCCUGUUUUUUCAAGCCUACACUUGCACAUCCACACUGCAUUUCAAAGCCAGGCCUUGCAACUAUGCUGACAUGUCCAUGCUGCACUACACAGACCUGAGUCAGACCUCCUGCGUGGGGGUGUUUCCCUGGGUUCCUAAUGCUGUUGCCCUCUGUAGUCACUCUAGGGCUUGGUUCAUAGGAUACUGGGGGGGACUUAACUAGCUCCAGGACUUAAUGAGAAUUGGUUAGAGCCCAGCCAUAUUUUGGGGUCCAAACACUCCCAGCAGCUGAAGUUGUCAACAUGGAUCCCAGUCUGCAAGCAGAACUUCUCCAGCUCAUACUUUUGACUUCUGUUUUAGGAAUCAAGUAGAGCAUCUGUGUCAUGCUGGUGGACAUUUCAGCAUCAGGCUAGAACUUGCAAAAGGCACCUUUUGGAGGAGGGGUGAUAUGCACAUGUGAGUUGCAACUGGACUGGAGUCAAGGGUUGCACAAGGCACAUUUGACCAUUCCAUGUGCUAGUGUUUAUUGCCUAUGACAUGGUCCAGGCACCCCCUGAAUUGUCCAAACUGCACAGUCUGUAGGAUGUGGUCAUGUGGAGGGAACUCAGCUGUGAGGCCGGAGCAGGAAUUGAAGACAGCAGUGGAGCUGGCACUGGAGCCUGCAGGCUGGUGGCCGUGAGUGCAAGCAACCACUCAAACAGCUACUUCUGCUGCACUCUGUCUUCCUCCCUGUACCCGUAGUCAUGCUCCAAAAACUGUGCUGCCCGUUUAUCCUCACGCUGUGCAGCCUCUCUCACUCUCAUUACCUUUCUUGAAUCUUUAUCUUUCUGGUGCACAAUCUGCUGAUUGACUUUAUCAAGAAUCUCAUCUCAGACUCUCUUUUCCUUGACUGUUGUUGGAGGUCCUCCAGGCAGAACUGGAAGGGCUUUGAAAGGAAAAUGAAAGAGCAGAUUGUCUGACCAUGAUACAAAAUUACAUUUUCUACUCUUUCAAAGGGGCUGCUUCCAUUCAAGGUCCAAAGAUGACACUUUCUAUCAGUGGGCUUUAUUUUAUUCACACAAAAAACACUGGCCAGCACAGACGUCCUUUGGAGUGGCACUGAAAGCUCUUGUUGCCCUGUGACAGAUUUCUGUUACCAAUCUCCCUGAGGUGUCAGAUGAUCAGGCUGAGGCCACAUGAUCUUUUGGGGAAGAGAUGACGAAACACACCAAGGGUCUAAGUUUUAAAGCCUUAUUAAUAAAAUAACAGUGGAGAGUGAUGGGCGCUCCCCACAUCAGUCAGAGGAAGGAAGAAAGCAUUAGUGCCUCAAGCCCUAACCCGCUUUCAUACUUCCAUAUGUUCUGCCUGAGGCUGGCCAAGCCUGGGGUAAUGUAAGAAGAAGAGGGGGAAGGGUGGACAGGAGUUCUGUCCUGGGCCCAGAUCAUCUGAGGUCUGCAGUAAUCUCCAACUUGCUUUGACUCUUGGGAGGGUUUUUGUUCAGGGCCCUUUGUUCCUGGUGCUCUUUGUACCAGUCCAAACUGGCUUUCUAUGGCCUUCUCAGCUUUCCCCAAAACACACCAGCUCCAGGGAUGCAUAGCUCUGCUUCCCUCUCCCACCCCCAUCAUCUUGCCUGUGUUUUUCAUCUCUGCAACCCUGUUUCUGUGUACUUUUUCUUUUUUCAUGGCUGUUGGUGGCUGAGUGAGAGAGAAACACUGCUGCCGAUUUCCAUGACCUUGGACUAGGGCCAGCAUAGCGUCUUAUUAUCAGACUGAGCUAGCUAGCUGCAAGGUUGAGUUAACCUGUUCUCUGCUCUCUUCCUUCUUCCCCCUCUGGCUUCUCGCGGCCUGCAAAGGAAUCUCCCAUUCGACACUCACUCACACCUUUGACCCUUCCCAAAAUGCCCUGUGAUGCUUGCAACAGCGUUAGCAAUAUAUAAUGCUGAUCUGCCUUCCCAGGGGACCCCCCUGAGGGAGGGAGUCCUUGGGCCUGUGACAGUCCUCCCCCUUGACCCCGAAUCAAUAUUUUGUUAUGAGGAGGUCACCAUUUCGGUUUUCACCCUGUCAUAAACAGAUGGUUAAGGGUUAAUGUCUCUUUUAUCUGUAAAGGGUUAAGAAGCUCAGUGAACCUGGCUGACACCUGACCAGAGGACCAAUCGGGGGACAAGAUAUUUUCAAACCUUGGUAGAGGAAAGUCUUUGUUUGUGCUGUUUGUUUUGUUCGUUGUUCGCUCUUGGGGCUAAGAGGAACCAGACGUAUACCCAGGUUUUCUCCAAUCUUUCUGAAUCAGUCUCUCAUGUUUCAAAAUAGUAAGUAUAGCCAGGAAAGGCGGAUUAGUCUUAUGUUUGUUUUCUUAACUUGUAAAUGUGUAUUUUGCAGGAAGGAUUUUUACCUCUGUUUGCUGUAACUUUGAAUCUCAGGCUGAUGGGAGGGUGGGAAAGUCCCUCUAGUCUAUAUGAAUCUGAAUACCCUGUAAGCAUUUACCAUCCUGAUUUUACAGAGAUAAUUUUUACCUUUUCUUUCUUUAAUUAAAAGCUUUCUUUUUUAAGAACCUGAUUGAUUUUUUCCUUGUUUUAAGACCCAAGGGGAUUGGGUCUGAACUCACCAGGGAUUGGUGGGGGAAAAGGACAGGGGGAAAGGUUAAUUCCUCUUUGUUUUAAGAUCCGAGGAGUUUGGAUCAGUGUAGCCUCUCAGGGUAACCCAGGGAGGGGAAAGGAGGGGGGAUGGUUUAUUUCUCCUUGUUUUAAGACCCAAGGGGUUUGGGUCUUGGGUUCCCCAGGGAAGGUUUUUGGGGGGACAGAAAGUGUGCCAAACACUAUAUUUUGGCUGGUGGCAGCGUUAUCAGAUCUAAGCUAGGAAUUAAGCAUAGAAGGGUCCAUGCAGGUCCCCACUUUUUGGACGCUAAAGUUCAAAGUGGGGGAAAAACCUUGACACACCCUCCCUCUGACACGGUGGCUAGGGUUACUACUAUUGGCCUUUUACAUACACAGAAAUAUAGCAUGCCUAUGAUACAGAGUUGUUGGGUUACAUAGUGUUGGAGCUGGGAGCACACCAAAUCCAGUGUCGGUUGUCGGCCUCAGUUAUAGUUUUAAUCAGUCCCUGCAAGGUAUUUUGCAUGUGAAGAGCCAAUUUGGCAGUCUGUUUGAGGGCAGCGGUGGCCACUGUCAGGUGGGUGAGGUCUGCACUUAUGACUAGUCCCAUGGCCAUUUUCAAUCAUUUCAACCGCUUGUUUUUCAUGGCCCCCUGCACAAGGAGCCCACUAUGAUCUGCCUUUUCCGGGAGGGGGGAGAGGGGGACAAGGACACUGUAUGCCUGAGGAGAGCGAGUUGGAGGGUGCCUCCCUCCCCUGGUAGAAUUGAGACGUUGAUUCUGGUUCCUGGAAAUUGAGCUGGAAAUGUUGGGAUGGGAGGGCUGGGAAACACAGGAGUUGUAGCAGGUGAUGGGCAGACUUUCCAGACCCGCAUCUGGCAACCUGGACUUCAAGAGCAUCCACAAUGCAAAAUGUCUGGGCUUGGACCUGCAUGAUAGCAGGGACUUGGGUUCAGCCUUGUACCAUGCUGGAGCCAUGAUCCUGAGCUUUCUGGCCCAAAUCAGACUGAUUUGUGUGUGGACAGUAGUGGGGCUUGGGCUUAAACCUUAGUCUGACCCUGUGUUGACUAUGCAGUAUAGACAUACCCUCUCUGGCUCCUUCUGUGCUUCCUGCCCCCAAGCCCGUUCUCCUGCCUCUACUACAGGUGCAGGGCAGCACCCCUUCACUGGACUGUGGUAGAUCUGCAAGCUGCCAAAGAUACUUACACAUGAAAGUUCAGAGCUUUAUUCUCCCUGCUUGCCAACUUCUCCAAAUUAACCCUGGGCUUCAGUUCUUUCUGUGAUGCACCAAGGUCUGUCUCCAGAGUCUUGCUACUUCUGGACUGCAGCUAAACACUUAAUACUUAAAUAACUUUAAUUGCUUAAUAACUGACAUUUUAAUAGGGUGAUUAAAAUGUUAAUCAUUAAGUGGCUGGUGAAGAGCCAAUUUAUUCUGAUAAACAUCACUUUUGUCUCAAAACCAAAGUUCUAACAACCUAUACCAGUUCUGAAGGACCAGUACUGUGCCCUGAGAUCUCUCUGACAGUUUAGGAAGGCAGCAGUAAAAAAAUACAUUUGAAUAAACAUGGUAACUUCUUUUUAUAAGUUUACUUGGCUGUCUCAUAUUCUUUUGUCUUUUCUGUGGCUGGAGUUGGACUGGGGUAACAAAGUGCAGUAUCAUACAAGGAGGAGGAAAAUGCAUAAAAAUUGCUUAUCACUAAUGAUAGAUAUUGGAUGGAGCUGUUUAUUUUCUUGUUCUUUAUUCUGUUUGUGGGGGUAUUGUAUGUAAAGCACUUUUUUUUGUGGUAGAAAUAAUUUCACAGAGACAGGACUACAUGCAAAAUGUCAAACUCAUCACCAAACAACAUUUAGGCUGCUGGGUAGGCUAGUUGUAUAACACAAGGAGGUUUAUAAUAUUUGUUUUCUUCAGUAGCAGGCUAAAGGAUUUCAGGGUAACCUAGACACUUGGGAAAACUAAGCAUCAGUUACCAGCUCUAAUUAUUCUAUGUCCAAAGAUCAAAUUCCAUGGUGUGUAUAGCGUGGUUUGUGUGAUGAUGCUUUGCUUUGCCUGAAUAAAGCAAUUCUUGUGAUCUAUUAACUGCUAUAUUGUUCAAGGAAAUCAUGUCAUUCAGCUUCUGUUUCAUGUUGAUGAAUAAACUAUUUGCUAAGUGUCAAACA
Long non-coding RNA from Gopherus flavomarginatus (Mexican gopher tortoise), 7101 nucleotides. RefSeq lists it as uncharacterized. Lineage: Eukaryota; Metazoa; Chordata; Testudines; Testudinidae. The record is from RefSeq and is a predicted model, not a curated record. The transcript is spliced from 2 exons.